UACGUAGGUGGCAAGCGUUGUCCGGAUUUACUGGGCGUAAAGGGCGUGCAGGCGGUUUGUUAAGUCUGGGGUGAAAGCUCCCGGCUCAACUGGGAGAGGUCCUUGGAUACUGGCAGACUUGAGGAGGGUAGAGGAGAGUGGAAUUCCCGGUGUAGUGGUGAUAUGCGUAGAUAUCGGGAGGAACACCGGUGGCGAAGGCGGGUCUCUGGGCAAUUCCUGACGCUGAGGCGCGAAAGCGUGGGGAGCAAACGGG
Molecule: ribosomal RNA, 253 nt
Filed under: uncultured bacterium
Lineage: Bacteria
Description: partial 16S ribosomal RNA
Rfam family: Bacterial small subunit ribosomal RNA
Source: RNAcentral